This 1068-nucleotide ribosomal RNA is filed under the name Bacillus sp. NCCP-759. RNAcentral describes it as "bacterial SSU rRNA". It matches the Rfam family "Bacterial small subunit ribosomal RNA", at positions 79 to 1133 of the family's 1533-position model. The record is from RNAcentral. Lineage: Bacteria; Bacillati; Bacillota; Bacilli; Caryophanales; Bacillaceae.
CUUGCUCCCGGAUGUUAGCGGCGGACGGGUGAGUAACACGUGGGUAACCUGCCUGUAAGACUGGGAUAACUCCGGGAAACCGGAGCUAAUACCGGAUAGUUCCUUGAACCGCAUGGUUCAAGGAUGAAAGACGGUUUCGGCUGUCACUUACAGAUGGACCCGCGGCGCAUUAGCUAGUUGGUGGGGUAAUGGCUCACCAAGGCGACGAUGCGUAGCCGACCUGAGAGGGUGAUCGGCCACACUGGGACUGAGACACGGCCCAGACUCCUACGGGAGGCAGCAGUAGGGAAUCUUCCGCAAUGGACGAAAGUCUGACGGAGCAACGCCGCGUGAGUGAUGAAGGUUUUCGGAUCGUAAAGCUCUGUUGUUAGGGAAGAACAAGUGCGAGAGUAACUGCUCGCACCUUGACGGUACCUAACCAGAAAGCCACGGCUAACUACGUGCCAGCAGCCGCGGUAAUACGUAGGUGGCAAGCGUUGUCCGGAAUUAUUGGGCGUAAAGGGCUCGCAGGCGGUUUCUUAAGUCUGAUGUGAAAGCCCCCGGCUCAACCGGGGAGGGUCAUUGGAAACUGGGAAACUUGAGUGCAGAAGAGGAGAGUGGAAUUCCACGUGUAGCGGUGAAAUGCGUAGAGAUGUGGAGGAACACCAGUGGCGAAGGCGACUCUCUGGUCUGUAACUGACGCUGAGGAGCGAAAGCGUGGGGAGCGAACAGGAUUAGAUACCCUGGUAGUCCACGCCGUAAACGAUGAGUGCUAAGUGUUAGGGGGUUUCCGCCCCUUAGUGCUGCAGCUAACGCAUUAAGCACUCCGCCUGGGGAGUACGGUCGCAAGACUGAAACUCAAAGGAAUUGACGGGGGCCCGCACAAGCGGUGGAGCAUGUGGUUUAAUUCGAAGCAACGCGAAGAACCUUACCAGGUCUUGACAUCCUCUGACAACCCUAGAGAUAGGGCUUUCCCUUCGGGGACAGAGUGACAGGUGGUGCAUGGUUGUCGUCAGCUCGUGUCGUGAGAUGUUGGGUUAAGUCCCGCAACGAGCGCAACCCUUGAUCUUAGUUGCCAGCAUUCAGUUG